Molecule: ribosomal RNA, 253 nt
Filed under: uncultured bacterium
Lineage: Bacteria
Also listed under: 1 other name
Description: partial 16S ribosomal RNA
Rfam family: Bacterial small subunit ribosomal RNA
Source: RNAcentral
UACGAAGGGGGCUAGCGUUGUUCGGAAUUACUGGGCGUAAAGCGCACGUAGGCGGAUUGACAAGUCAGGGGUGAAAUCCCGGGGCUCAACCUCGGAACUGCCUUUGAUACUGUUAGUCUAGAGUCCGGAAGAGGUGGGUGGAAUUCCUAGUGUAGAGGUGAAAUUCGCAGAUAUUAGGAAGAACACCGGUGGCGAAGGCGGCCCACUGGUCCGGAACUGACGCUGAGGUGCGAAAGCGUGGGGAGCAAACAGG